AUUAGUCAAGAGUGUCCUUGUAGCAGGGAGAAUUCAUUUGUAUUUUUUUUUUUUUAUUAAAAAAAAUAUAACAAAAUUCUUUUUCCUCUCCCUUUCUUCUUCUUUCUCGCCCGUCACCCUUUUCUCCCUUCUCCCUCACUCCCUUCCAUUUCUGACCACAAUCCCACUGCCACCAGCCACCCGACUUCCCUCCUCCUUCCUAUUCUCGAUGGCGCGUCCUUUUCCCCUUUCUCUCGCUGUUCCCUCGUCGCAGCAAGGAGGAGAAGCCGCCUCCUACAUUGCCAUCACCGGUUUGACCUCCUGCCGCCGCCCUUUCGCCUAUCCGACACCAGGAACGAGCUCCCCACCAUCGACAACCCUAAGGCAGCCCCUCCUAGUCGUUUUUCUCCGCCGGUAGCCUUCGUAUAGCCUUACCGGAGCCGAUUUUCCUCCUCCAUGAUCUAGCUUUUUUGGCAACAGUUAGGCUGUGAUUUUGGUGUUUUUGAACUCCCUGCAACUCAACCUUUGCGUAGCCAUCUCUCGAUUCGAAAUCCAACACUGUAGGCGGUACCGGCUUUCAGAUACCGGUGUUUUCCGAACGUGCGAAAGUUCGGAUUUUGACUCGAUAUAAUAUUAUGUAGACUUUGAAAAUUAUUUUAAAAUUGUUAGAAAAUAUUCUAUGUAUUAAUUGUUAGAUAUAAUUAAAUAAUUAAAUUAAUUAAUUAAUUAGUCGCCUGAUUUUAAAUUUACUGGAGAAGUUAAUAUUCUAUUAUGUAAAAUUAGGCUGUGAUUAAUUGAAUUAAAUGUGAGGAAUAUUGUGUGGUUGUAUCGGAAAUAAUAUUAUUAUUUUUGCCGCUAUUUUUUUGAAUUGUGAUUUGGCUUAUGUGGCUGAAUCGGAAAAAUAAUACAGUUUUAGUGGUCCGACUCCUGUUAAAUAAAUGUGGAAUAUUUGAAGUACGUUAUACGGGAAGUAAACGUCUAUAUUUUGGGAAAGGUUUUGCCCGAGUCGGAAUUUUUUAGGUAGUCUAAUCUAGAAGUCUGGGCCUAGAAAAAAUUAAGAAUAUCUAAUUGAGUUAUUUUCAUAAAUAAUUAAUCUGUCCAUCCAGCCAGCUCCACCCAAGACGUAGGAGCAGACUGCAAAGCGCAGCAAAACUGUGACAGUUAGGUUCUCCGCCGACUUCUUUUUGCAGCCCGACUCUCCCUUCGCCUUCGGACUUAUUGUGACAGUUAGGUUCUCCGCUGACUUCUUUUUGCAGCCCAACUUGCCCUUCCCUUUCGGGCUUAUUGUAAUUAAACCUUAACUUUUGUAUUUUAAAUUAUUUAGAAUUCUAUACUCCCCGC
Molecule: long non-coding RNA, 1320 nt
Organism: Ricinus communis (castor bean)
Lineage: Eukaryota; Viridiplantae; Streptophyta; Magnoliopsida; Malpighiales; Euphorbiaceae
Exons: 3
Source: RefSeq, a predicted model, not a curated record